This 131-nucleotide long non-coding RNA is filed under the name Ictidomys tridecemlineatus (thirteen-lined ground squirrel). RNAcentral's name for it is "lncRNA (ENSSTOG00000029586.1)". The record is from RNAcentral. Lineage: Eukaryota; Metazoa; Chordata; Mammalia; Rodentia; Sciuridae.
GAACCUGUCCUACUGACUUCUCCAUUCAGGUCAUCCAGGAGACUGUGCCACUGGAGCCAAUGGUACCAAAAGUACAAUAUGGUUCCUUUAAAUAAGACUUUUUCGCCUACUUAGGAUUAACUCCACAUGAA